UGAUGAGGGGGAGGACAGGGGUAAGGGAGACAGGGAGAAAAGGGGUAGGAGAAAGGGGAUGGGAGAAAGGAGAAAGGGGGUAGGAGAAAGGAGAGGAAGGCUGGGAGAAAGAAGAAAAAGUUGGAGAAAGGAAAAAAAAUAAAAUAUCUCUCCUUUUAAAAAAUGAUCUAAUAAUUUCAAGAAAAAAUAUCUCAAAAGGAGAUGUUUUAUUCUAAUGGGAGAAAGGAGAACGGGGGUAGGAGAAAGGAGAAGAGGGUUGGGAGAAGGGAGAAGGGUACCCCCUGUCCUCCCCCUCA
RNAcentral lists this long non-coding RNA (296 nucleotides) under Mytilus galloprovincialis (Mediterranean mussel). The record is from RNAcentral. Lineage: Eukaryota; Metazoa; Mollusca; Bivalvia; Mytilida; Mytilidae.